Molecule: long non-coding RNA, 193 nt
Organism: Gadus morhua (Atlantic cod)
Lineage: Eukaryota; Metazoa; Chordata; Actinopteri; Gadiformes; Gadidae
Exons: 3
Source: RefSeq, a predicted model, not a curated record
GCAAAUGCGUUGGGGGCGGCAAAAGUGUUGGGGGCGCCCCCUGGUGGCGGCCUUAAUAAAUUAAUCAAUUUUAAUGAAACAAGCGUGUUUUCUAAACACGUUUCGAAAUGGAAGGGAGAAUGGGGGAUGAAAAGUUAUUGAAUCGUAACAGACCAGCAGCAGUAACAUACCAACUGACGGAUUCCCAAAAAAA